This 1531-nucleotide ribosomal RNA is filed under the name Staphylococcus aureus. Its description in RNAcentral is "partial 23S ribosomal RNA". It matches the Rfam family "Bacterial large subunit ribosomal RNA", at positions 1376 to 2904 of the family's 2925-position model. The record is from RNAcentral. Lineage: Bacteria; Bacillati; Bacillota; Bacilli; Caryophanales; Staphylococcaceae.
UGGGUUAGUCGGGUCCUAAGCUGAGGCCGACAGGCGUAGGCGAUGGAUAACAGGUUGAUAUUCCUGUACCACCUAUAAUCGUUUUAAUCGAUGGGGGGACGCAGUAGGAUAGGCGAAGCGUGCGAUUGGAUUGCACGUCUAAGCAGUAAGGCUGAGUAUUAGGCAAAUCCGGUACUCGUUAAGGCUGAGCUGUGAUGGGGAGAAGACAUUGUGUCUUCGAGUCGUUGAUUUCACACUGCCGAGAAAAGCCUCUAGAUAGAAAAUAGGUGCCCGUACCGCAAACCGACACAGGUAGUCAAGAUGAGAAUUCUAAGGUGAGCGAGCGAACUCUCGUUAAGGAACUCGGCAAAAUGACCCCGUAACUUCGGGAGAAGGGGUGCUCUUUAGGGUUAACGCCCAGAAGAGCCGCAGUGAAUAGGCCCAAGCGACUGUUUAUCAAAAACACAGGUCUCUGCUAAACCGUAAGGUGAUGUAUAGGGGCUGACGCCUGCCCGGUGCUGGAAGGUUAAGAGGAGUGGUUAGCUUCUGCGAAGCUACGAAUCGAAGCCCCAGUAAACGGCGGCCGUAACUAUAACGGUCCUAAGGUAGCGAAAUUCCUUGUCGGGUAAGUUCCGACCCGCACGAAAGGCGUAACGAUUUGGGCACUGUCUCAACGAGAGACUCGGUGAAAUCAUAGUACCUGUGAAGAUGCAGGUUACCCGCGACAGGACGGAAAGACCCCGUGGAGCUUUACUGUAGCCUGAUAUUGAAAUUCGGCACAGCUUGUACAGGAUAGGUAGGAGCCUUUGAAACGUGAGCGCUAGCUUACGUGGAGGCGCUGGUGGGAUACUACCCUAGCUGUGUUGGCUUUCUAACCCGCACCACUUAUCGUGGUGGGAGACAGUGUCAGGCGGGCAGUUUGACUGGGGCGGUCGCCUCCUAAAAGGUAACGGAGGCGCUCAAAGGUUCCCUCAGAAUGGUUGGAAAUCAUUCAUAGAGUGUAAAGGCAUAAGGGAGCUUGACUGCGAGACCUACAAGUCGAGCAGGGUCGAAAGACGGACUUAGUGAUCCGGUGGUUCCGCAUGGAAGGGCCAUCGCUCAACGGAUAAAAGCUACCCCGGGGAUAACAGGCUUAUCUCCCCCAAGAGUUCACAUCGACGGGGAGGUUUGGCACCUCGAUGUCGGCUCAUCGCAUCCUGGGGCUGUAGUCGGUCCCAAGGGUUGGGCUGUUCGCCCAUUAAAGCGGUACGCGAGCUGGGUUCAGAACGUCGUGAGACAGUUCGGUCCCUAUCCGUCGUGGGCGUAGGAAAUUUGAGAGGAGCUGUCCUUAGUACGAGAGGACCGGGAUGGACAUACCUCUGGUGUACCAGUUGUCGUGCCAACGGCAUAGCUGGGUAGCUAUGUGUGGACGGGAUAAGUGCUGAAAGCAUCUAAGCAUGAAGCCCCCCUCAAGAUGAGAUUUCCCAACUUCGGUUAUAAGAUCCCUCAAAGAUGAUGAGGUUAAUAGGUUCGAGGUGGAAGCAUGGUGACAUGUGGAGCUGACGAAUACUAA